Molecule: non-coding RNA, 101 nt
Organism: Caenorhabditis brenneri
Lineage: Eukaryota; Metazoa; Nematoda; Chromadorea; Rhabditida; Rhabditidae
Source: Rfam
CAUUCAGGGCUGGACUGGACCUGUGCUGUUUUUUGCUGCGGUGAUAUCUCCGAGUCGUGAUUAUCACCGGGCGAACAUCGGCACAGGUCCGGUCCUCCCUC